This 253-nucleotide ribosomal RNA is filed under the name uncultured bacterium. Its description in RNAcentral is "partial 16S ribosomal RNA". It matches the Rfam family "Bacterial small subunit ribosomal RNA", at positions 524 to 776 of the family's 1533-position model. The record is from RNAcentral.
UACGGAGGGGGCGAGCGUUAUUCGGAAUUACUGGGCGUAAAGCGUGCGCAGGCGGUUUUGUAAGUCUGUCGUGAAAUCCCCGGGCUCAACCUGGGAAUUGCGAUGGAGACUGCAAGGCUAGAAUCUGGCAGAGGGGGGUAGAAUUCCACGUGUAGCAGUGAAAUGCGUAGAGAUGUGGAGGAACACCGAUGGCGAAGGCAGCCCCCUGGGUCAAGAUUGACGCUCAUGCACGAAAGCGUGGGGAGCAAACAGG